GCUCUUUUAAUUCAUCAUGCUUCUAUCUCUCCUCUCCCCACUAGGUUAAGAGAUCAGAGUAACUUUUGAGCUAAUGAGGACACUAGGUGACAUCAAGCCCAAACACUUUCUGAACAAGUGGCUGGUCCUGAGAGGUGAUCGAGGUCACACAACUAUAAGAUAUAAGCAGGAACUGAAAAAUCACAUCUCCAGACUCAUCACUUGGGCUUGGCCAUGGACUUGCAUAUCAUUGCUGAGAGAAGUCUCAACAGCAGCUUAAGUACUAUUGAAGACCUCAAGAUGACAAAUUUUCUCCAUCACUUCUAAGGCUGAAUUGUCAUAUCCAAUGUGCUUUAUGACUAUGCUUUGAUUUGUGCUGAUGGAUCUAAGGUGUGCACCUCUGGAGGCUUUGAGGUGGCUAUACUUCAGUUGUGGAUAAAGAGGUGAAGAAGGACAUCUAUGGUGAUGCUCAGUAAUAUCUGCGAAGAACUGUGGAGACAGACAAAUAGUCAAAGAUGUUUCAUAACCAACUCCUUUGGAAAGAAAAAAAAGUAGCACAUCAGCAAUUUUUAAGCACGUUAGGAUUUGAACAGCUGAAUGACAGUAUCUCCUGGAGGAAAGAUUUUCUACUCACAGAACCUGAGAUGAGAAUCAUCUGUCCCAGUUUUACAAAUUAAAAAGGAAAAAAGAAACUCCAGUGCCUUUUCUGCCAGUAUUUUCUGAUGUUGAAAUUCUGAUACAAAUAUUCAAGUUCAAUGCAAUCCCAUCAUGAGCGAUCCUCAGGAAGCUGUAUUUGAAAUGAAGCUUUGUUAGAUGAGAAAUCAAAUUCACAAUCCUUCUGUGGUUUUGGUGCAAGAGCUCCAUCUGGAAAUGGACCAGCCCUUACUGCCUCAGCAUAUGUCCCAGGGACUACAUUCUCCCAAUAAUUGAACACUUUGAUUCCAAAUGCAGCACAGUUUUCUCUCUUCAUGCUGUUAUUCACCUAUCUCUGAGCAUGCAAACUUCAGGAAGCCAAAGUGAGUGUAGAAAGAUAUUUAUAAUGAAGAAAUAAAAAAAUCCUUAUCAUAAUUAGGUGAUGCUGAAAUAUUCUUCUAGUUGGCAUUCUGCCCAGGAGUUUAAAGGGUUUUUACUUAGUUCUGACUUUGCUUACCUGUAAACCAACCGAGUUCCCUCCAUUUCCCUGCAGUUUGGCAUUUUAGUGUUACAAACCAUUAUUCAUUGGAAGUCAUCAAAAGACAAGGGACCUUUUUCAUUACAAAGCUCCUGGGUGGAAUAAAAUGGCUUACAUUGUUGAAGGGAAAAGGGGGACAAGAAAUGAGUAUUUUCUUUCUAGAAAACACACACAAACACACACACACACACACACACACACACCUGUAUAUCUGCAAUCCAGAUGGCCAUGGUGCCCUGGAUGGGGAAGAAAUAAUCCACUUACUUCUUCUUUUGCUUUUUAUAUGGACUACCACGAAUGGCCAAUCCUGACCCUCAGGGACUGCUCUUUAAGUGUUCUUAAAAUUGAAAUAGAAUUGGAAGUGUCAGUUUCUGGACCAUGUCCAUGUCACCACAGGUGGAAACACAAUGGUUAAACUAGGAUGGACAGGAACUAAGGAGUCAAUCAACUUUGACCUGGAUUGGCAUCCAAUAUGGAGGAUUUCCGUAAUAAUAACAGGACACAGUUCUCUUUAGGCUUCCCUUUAUCCUUAGCUCUGAUAUAUUAGAUUCUUACAUAUUCUAUGUUUUUAACUGAAACAGCCUGCUGCUAAAGCCUUCAGACUACUCUAAUUCUGGAAGCCUAAUUUCAGACUACUCUGCCUCCUCCCAGAGGGAACGAAAGCCAGGGAGAGAUGCUAAAGCCAUAAUCCUCAAAGGAUAGUUCUGCUUGCAGAUCUAGGGCUUUCAUUUAAAAGAAUGACUCAAAAGGCCAUUUCUAGGCUCGUGAAUCUCAAAAGUCAAUGUCGAUGAGUAUUAUCUCAGACACUUGUAAGAAAUGCGUACAUUCAAGCCCCUUUUUUCUGAUUCGGAAGUUCUGAGUUCAGGUUUGGGGCCAGGGGAUCUGAUAUUUCACUGCAUAUGAUCCUGAUGUAGUCGUUCGGUGGAAUACACAAGAGUCACUAAACUAAACUACAAUAGACUUGGGAACGCAGAAAUAGGAAGUUUCUUAGAUUUUUCUUGAGAUGUGGAUUUUAAGGUAUAUUUGUUAUAUUUUCUCUUAGUUUAUUUUAAAUACCAGGUAACCCUGAGACACACUGAAACCUGAAAGUCAUAUAAAGUUAUGUCUAAUUUAG
RNAcentral lists this long non-coding RNA (2264 nucleotides) under Homo sapiens (human). RNAcentral's name for it is "HSALNT0102155". Lineage: Eukaryota; Metazoa; Chordata; Mammalia; Primates; Hominidae. The record is from RNAcentral.